UGUUUGUUGUGGUAGUGGGGAGGUAGGCUGCUGUUCUUUGUUGAUCUGUGUGCUGCAGUAUUCAUGGAUUCCCUGGACCUGCAACUGCAGUAGCAAGCCCCAAGGGCACUGACAGCUACGAUACCUUGAACAGCCUCACCUCUGGAGCUCAGCCACACCUGCUGGCUCUAAUUGGGAUCAGCUCUGGGCAUCUAGAACCUUCUCAGAGCUGUUGGGCUGGUGCUUCACCACUUCUGUAUGCUGGAUGGACCUCAGCCAAGCCAAUGGUCCUAGCCCUGCAUCUGGAAAUCCAUGUGUUGGCAGCAAUUUGCUGAACCCUUGCGGACUGACCCCAUGAUCUCAGCAUUGCUGUGAGAGCUGGAGGUAGGGGUGGUGUGCUGGGGUGCAGGUACCUGCACUCAA
Long non-coding RNA from Oxyura jamaicensis (ruddy duck), 402 nucleotides. RefSeq lists it as uncharacterized. The transcript is spliced from 3 exons. The record is from RefSeq and is a predicted model, not a curated record. NCBI's taxonomy places the organism in Eukaryota, Metazoa, Chordata, Aves, Anseriformes, Anatidae.